RNAcentral lists this unclassified non-coding RNA (273 nucleotides) under Sistotremastrum guttuliferum. RNAcentral's name for it is "partial internal transcribed spacer region". The stretch from base 1 to 46 matches the Rfam family "Eukaryotic small subunit ribosomal RNA", at positions 1786 to 1831 of the family's 1831-position model. Lineage: Eukaryota; Fungi; Basidiomycota; Agaricomycetes; Sistotremastrales; Sistotremastraceae. The record is from RNAcentral.
AAGUCGUAACAAGGUUUCCGUAGGUGAACCUGCGGAAGGAUCAUUAACGAAUUUCUCAAAGUUGCUUACAGCGUUGUGCGGUCAUUCGCAUAUGUUGAAGGUAGCUCUUGAGCAUUUCACACAUAUCCCCUGUGCACCUUAAGAGGGUAACUGUUUUAUCUUGAGCGCGUUGUGCUCGAUAGGACGUGUUGCCCUCUCUUUACAAAAUCUUAUGUCUAGAAUGUCUGAUAAAAUUAAACAAAAUAACUUUCAACAACGGAUCUCUUGGCUCUC